RNAcentral lists this ribosomal RNA (253 nucleotides) under uncultured bacterium. RNAcentral's name for it is "partial 16S ribosomal RNA". It matches the Rfam family "Bacterial small subunit ribosomal RNA", at positions 524 to 776 of the family's 1533-position model. The record is from RNAcentral.
UACAGAGGCCCCGAGCGUUACUGAGAAUCACUGGGCUUAAAGGGUGCGUAGGUGGUCCGUUAAGUUCGUUGUGAAAGCCCUGGGCUCAACCCAGGAACUGCUUCGAAUACUGGCGGACUUGAGGCUAGUAGGGGUUACUGGAACUGACGGUGGAGCGGUGAAAUGCGUAGAUAUCGGCAGGAACGCCAAUGGUGAAGACAGGUAACUGGGCUAGUUCUGACACUGAGGCACGAAAGCGUGGGGAGCGAACGGG